UUAAUUGUCUUACUUCCUCCGUGAAUGUAAACUCUUGGAGAGCGAGAACUUUGUCAUCCUUGCUGGUGUAUGCCCCGAUUCUGGAAGGAUGCAUGGGAGACAGAGGCAUAGAGCAGACAGCUGCAGAAGGAUGAAGCCGUCUCCCUUUGUGGAGGCACCGCCAGCCCACUAAGUCAGGAGCCUGCCCUGGCUCUCCUCUGCCCCUGCAUACACUAAAUUGCUGGGGACAUUUCGGGCUUGAGCCCGGGUUCAGAGCCAGCCAGGGCUCUCAGAGGGAGCUGAAGACGCCCGCUCCACAGCCACCUGGUGGAGUCAUUGUGAAAGUCAAGUGAGGUGCGCGCUGCGAAGGAUUUGGGAAAACUACAUAUUCUUCUCGACGAAGACUUUUUGGUAGCCACGCAUGGAAAUGAAGGUCUGUGGUCGGUGAUGCUGAGUUAUCUAACACGCACUAUACUCCGGGUGUCUACACGAAAGUGUUCUAGA
Long non-coding RNA from Equus quagga, 483 nucleotides. RefSeq lists it as uncharacterized. Lineage: Eukaryota; Metazoa; Chordata; Mammalia; Perissodactyla; Equidae. The record is from RefSeq and is a predicted model, not a curated record. The transcript is spliced from 3 exons.